Molecule: ribosomal RNA, 253 nt
Filed under: uncultured bacterium
Lineage: Bacteria
Description: partial 16S ribosomal RNA
Rfam family: Bacterial small subunit ribosomal RNA
Source: RNAcentral
UACGUAGGGUGCAAGCGUUGUCCGGAAUUAUUGGGCGUAAAGAGCUCGUAGGCGGCCUGUUGCGUCCGCUGUGAAAUCCCGGGGCUUAACCCCGGGCCUGCAGUCGAUACGGGCAGACUAGAGUGCGGUAGGGGAGACUGGAAUUCCUGGUGUAGCGGUGAAAUGCGCAGAUAUCAGGAGGAACACCGGUGGCGAAGGCGGGUCUCUGGGCCGUAACUGACGCUGAGGAGCGAAAGCGUGGGGAGCGAACAGG